CCUACGGGUGGCAGCAGUGAGGAAUAUUGGUCAAUGGCCGGAAGGCUGAACCAGCCAUGCCGCGUGAAGGUCAGUGCCCUAUGGGCGUUAAACUUCUUUUGUGCGGGAACAAUAAUGGUCACGUGUGGCCAGACGAGAGUACCGUACGAAUAAGCAUCGGCUAACUCCGUGCCAGCAGCCGCGGUAAUACGGGGGAUGCAAGCGUUAUCCGGAUUUAUUGGGUUUAAAGGGUGCGUAGGCUGUGAGGUAAGUCAGCGGUGAAAUGCCCCCGCUCAACGGGGUGAAGUGCCAUUGAUACUGCCUGGCUGGAAUGCGGAUGCCGUGGGAGGAAGGUGUGGUGUAGCGGUGAAAUGCAUAGAUAUCACACAGAACACCGAUUGCGAAGGCAUCUCACGAAUCCGCGAUUGACGCUGAUGCACGAAGGCGUGGGUAUCAAACAGGAUUAGAUACCCGAGUAGUC
RNAcentral lists this ribosomal RNA (460 nucleotides) under uncultured bacterium. RNAcentral describes it as "partial 16S ribosomal RNA". It matches the Rfam family "Bacterial small subunit ribosomal RNA", at positions 338 to 795 of the family's 1533-position model. The record is from RNAcentral.